CAAUAGCGUAUAUUAAAGUUGUUGCGGUAAAAAGCUCGUAGUUGGAUUUCUGUCGAGAACAGCCGGUCACGAUUUUGUCGUUGUAUCUGGUUUGGUCUUGGCAUCCUCUUGGGGAACAUUUCUGCGCUUCACUGCGUGGAGUGGUAUUCAAGACUUUUACUUUGAGGAAAUUAGAGUGUUCACGGCAGGCAAUCGCCCUGAAUAUAUUAGCAUGGAAUAAUGAUAUAGGACCUUGGUUCUAUUUUGUUGGUUUCUAGAACUAAGGUAAUGAUUAAUAGGGACAAUUGGGGGCAUUCGUAUUAACGCGUCAGAGGUGGAAUUCUUAGAUUGCGUUACGACGAACUACUGCGAAAGCAUUUGCCAAGGAUGUUUUCAUUGAUCAAGAACGAAAGUAAGGGGAUCGAAGAUGAUUAGAUACCGU
This 421-nucleotide ribosomal RNA is filed under the name uncultured eukaryote. RNAcentral's name for it is "SSU rRNA". It matches the Rfam family "Eukaryotic small subunit ribosomal RNA", at positions 592 to 1018 of the family's 1831-position model. The record is from RNAcentral.